This 253-nucleotide ribosomal RNA is filed under the name uncultured bacterium. RNAcentral describes it as "partial 16S ribosomal RNA". It matches the Rfam family "Bacterial small subunit ribosomal RNA", at positions 524 to 776 of the family's 1533-position model. The record is from RNAcentral.
UACGAAGGGGGCUAGCGUUGCUCGGAAUCACUGGGCGUAAAGCGCACGUAGGCGGAUCUUUAAGUCAGGGGUGAAAUCCUGGAGCUCAACUCCAGAACUGCCUUUGAUACUGAGGGUCUUGAGUUCGGGAGAGGUGAGUGGAACUGCGAGUGUAGAGGUGAAAUUCGUAGAUAUUCGCAAGAACACCAGUGGCGAAGGCGGCUCACUGGCCCGAUACUGACGCUGAGGUGCGAAAGCGUGGGGAGCAAACAGG